CCCUUAGAUGUUCUGGGCUGCACGCGCGCUACACUGAUGCACUCAUCGAGUUUAUGACCUUGCCCGAUAGGGUUGGGUAAUCUUCUUAAAAUGCAUCGUGAUGGGGAUAGAUUAUUGCAAUUAUUAAUCUUCAACGAGGAAUUCCCAGUAAGCGCGAGUCAUCAGCUCGUGCUGAUUACGUCCCUGCCCUUUGUACACACCGCCCGUCGCUCCCACCGAUUGAGUGAUCCGGUGAAUAAUUCGGACUGCAGCAAUGUUUGGAUCCCGAACGUUGCAGUGGAAAGUUUAGUGAACCUUAUCACUUAGAGGAAGGAGAAGUCGUAACA
This 326-nucleotide ribosomal RNA is filed under the name uncultured eukaryote. RNAcentral describes it as "partial 18S ribosomal RNA". It matches the Rfam family "Eukaryotic small subunit ribosomal RNA", at positions 1470 to 1796 of the family's 1831-position model. The record is from RNAcentral.